RNAcentral lists this ribosomal RNA (429 nucleotides) under Gemmatimonadota bacterium. Its description in RNAcentral is "Gemmatimonadetes bacterium partial 16S ribosomal RNA". It matches the Rfam family "Bacterial small subunit ribosomal RNA", at positions 355 to 776 of the family's 1533-position model. Lineage: Bacteria; Pseudomonadati; Gemmatimonadota. The record is from RNAcentral.
UAGGGAAUCUUCGGCAAUGGACGAAAGUCUGACCGAGCAACGCCGCGUGAGUGAAGAAGGUUUUCGGAUCGUAAAACUCUGUUGUUAGAGAAGAACAAGGACGUUAGUAACUGAACGUCCCCUGACGGUAUCUAACCAGAAAGCCACGGCUAACUACGUGCCAGCAGCCGCGGUAAUACGUAGGUGGCAAGCGUUGUCCGGAUUUAUUGGGCGUAAAGCGAGCGCAGGCUGUUUCUUAAGUCUGAUGUGAAAGCCCCCGGCUCAACCGGGGAGGGUCAUUGGAAACUGGGAGACUUGAGUGCAGAAAAGGAGAGUGGAAUUCCAUGUGUAGCGGUGAAAUACGUAGAUAUAUGGAGGAACACCAGUGGCGAAGGCGGCUCUCUGGUCUGUAACUGACGCUGAGGCUCGAAAGCGUGGGGAGCAAACAGG